This 507-nucleotide ribosomal RNA is filed under the name uncultured bacterium. RNAcentral describes it as "partial 16S ribosomal RNA". It matches the Rfam family "Bacterial small subunit ribosomal RNA", at positions 28 to 507 of the family's 1533-position model. The record is from RNAcentral.
GACGAACGCUGGCGGCGUGCCUAAUACAUGCAAGUCGAACGCUUCUUUCCUCCCGAGUGCUUGCACUCAAUUGGAAGAGGAGUGGCGGACGGGUGAGUAACACGUGGGUAACCUACCCAUCAGAGGGGGAUAACACUUGGAAACAGGUGCUAAUACCGCAUAACAGUUUAUGCCGCAUGGCAUAAGAGUGAAAGGCGCUUUCGGGUGUCGCUGAUGGAUGGACCCGCGGUGCAUUAGCUAGUUGGUGAGGUAACGGCUCACCAAGGCCACGAUGCAUAGCCGACCUGAGAGGGUGAUCGGCCACACUGGGACUGAGACACGGCCCAGACUCCUACGGGAGGCAGCAGUAGGGAAUCUUCGGCAAUGGACGAAAGUCUGACCGAGCAACGCCGCGUGAGUGAAGAAGGUUUUCGGAUCGUAAAACUCUGUUGUUAGAGAAGAACAAGGACGUUAGUAACUGAACGUCCCCUGACGGUAUCUAACCAGAAAGCCACGGCUAACUACGUG